Molecule: ribosomal RNA, 108 nt
Filed under: uncultured Clostridium sp.
Lineage: Bacteria; Bacillati; Bacillota; Clostridia; Eubacteriales; Clostridiaceae
Also listed under: 1 other name
Description: partial 16S ribosomal RNA
Rfam family: Bacterial small subunit ribosomal RNA
Source: RNAcentral
GAUGAAGGCCUUCGGGUUGUAAAGCUCUUUCUUUGGGGACGAUAAUGACCGUACCNGAAGNGCAAGGAGGAAGCCACGGCUAACUACGUGCCAGCAGCCGCUAUAAUA